GUACACUCCUACGGGAGGCAGCAGUGGGGAAUUUUGGACAAUGGGCGAAAGCCUGAUCCAGCAAUGCCGCGUGAGUGAAGAAGGCCUUCGGGUUGUAAAGCUCUUUUGUCAGGGAAGAAACGGUGAGAGCUAAUAUCUUUUGCUAAUGACGGUACCUGAAGAAUAAGCACCGGCUAACUACGUGCCAGCAGCCGCGGUAAUACGUAGGGUGCAAGCGUUAAUCGGAAUUACUGGGCGUAAAGCGUGCGCAGGCGGUUUUGUAAGUCUGAUGUGAAAUCCCCGGGCUCAACCUGGGAAUUGCAUUGGAGACUGCAAGGCUAGAAUCUGGCAGAGGGGGGUAGAAUUCCACGUGUAGCAGUGAAAUGCGUAGAUAUGUGGAGGAACACCGAUGGCGAAGGCAGCCCCCUGGGUCAAGAUUGACGCUCAUGCACGAAAGCGUGGGGAGCAAACAGGAUUAGAUACCCCGGUAGUCCCAUGAU
This 479-nucleotide ribosomal RNA is filed under the name uncultured organism. Its description in RNAcentral is "partial 16S ribosomal RNA". It matches the Rfam family "Bacterial small subunit ribosomal RNA", at positions 331 to 801 of the family's 1533-position model. The record is from RNAcentral.